UCACGCUGCUCGCCCCGCCCCGCUGGCUCCUUUUCCCUAGCCUAAACUCUCAAGAGCCUCAGGCCAAAGCUGUGCAAGGAGUUGCGGCGGGAAGCGGUUACUUUUUACUAGUUACCUGAGGUUAACCUCAGUCUGGAAGCAGAUGACCCUCCUUCCGAAGAAUUAUUGGAAGGUCAAUAGUAGCCUUACACCAUAUUACAAUGCCUGCAUCAUUCAUGUCACUUUAUCUCAUCACCUGGGCAUUUUGCCAUCUCACACCAUCACGGGAAGGGAAAUAGAAGCAGCUCUGGGCUGAGGACUCAAUCUGCUCUUCCUUUCUGGAUGUAGAGUUCGGGCUCAAUUUCUCCAAGACCAUUAACCCAGUAAUCUGAGCUCAGUGGCUCCAGCAUCCACAUGACUGGAAACAGAAGGGUUUCGCCUCUUGCUGUUGGAGGGGUUUAACACACUGUGGAGCUUAGUGGAUUUCUUUCAGGUUUUGUUUCAGCUGCCAAGAGCUCAGGGACUCAAGCAUUUUAAAAAGCUCAAGGAAUGUCAGAGAAUUGAGAAGGGACCCAGGGAAUUGGUGUUUGCUGAGCUAUUGCUGGUGUGCCUGGGAUGGAGAACAAGGAGGCCUAGAGAUGUGGCCCAUCCUGAAGAUCUGGCUGAGAGGGCUUUGUGCUGCAGGUCUAGCCUCUUUAGUAAUCUUCUCUGGUAAGACACAAGGGAUGGAUAAAAAUGAGCAAUUAUACUUGAGACAGAUCCGUUCCUUCAGUGGCAAUAUAUUUUCCUCACAUGCUUUUCUCUUCACAGCAAGCAAAUGCAUGUGGAGCCAGUGACUAUGAAGUCGGUCAUAUUAAAUUUACUCAGUUUUCUUCAAGUCUUCAAGCGUGAAGCGUUGCAAACCUUCAUAUGUACACUAGGGAAAGAAAGGAAGAAAAAAAAGAACUCCACAGCAAGGCCUAAGGAAAAGGCUGUGGAAAGAAAACAGCAAGAUAAAGCAACACAAUUUCAAAUCUUAAUCUCCUGAAAUGGUGCCUUUAAAGCCGCACUUUCCACAUUUCUGAGUGAAGCCCGUCAAAACUCCGUGUCAAAUCAUGUUAUAACCUUGCUUCUUAUCUGUUUGUGAUAGCUUUCAAGGGCCAGUAAUUCCCCCAUAUGUGGCAGAAAAGUUGAUAGUAGAGAUUUGCGCACUUGACUAAGCUUCCUGCAUUGCUUUUUGUGCAGUGCUGGUGAAGGACAGAGAUUUGUUCUCCCUUUCAGAACUAAACAUGCAACUGCCAACGACACAGUCAAGAAGCGAACCAGAAUCACUCACUUGGUCAGAGAACCCUGACGAAUACAGACUUCAGCACAUCUUUUAGGGGGAUGCAGACCAACCCAUUGCAUGAAACAGUGGCAGUAGCCAAAGAAGACAAAAGUCUGAGAAAGAAUUGGGAGCCGGCAGGCAUGGACAGAAGAUCUACAUUAGGCAUCAUGCCAUGGAUUGUAUUUACUGAGUUAGGGGAUUGGAGGAGAGUGAAGGCAGCUAGAUAUGAGCUUCUCUUUCCAUCUUUGUUUCCAGCCAAGGAAACCAGCUGCAAUUCCAGAGAACACAAAGGGAAGCACUCCAAAACAGGUUGCAAAAUGCCUAGUUCCUGAGCCAGAUGAAAGCGGCCUGUGCUACACGAGAGCUAAAAAAAGAAGAAAGUGGAGGGAAAGGGUUGUACUGAGGCCUGGAUGAAUUAUUUCUAAAUGCUGUGAAUGUCUGCUUCUAAUCUGGCCCUCACAAUGCAACACAUGAGAUGCUCAUCCUUGGAACCCAGCCACCAUUGCUCUGAAGAAGCACAUGCCAUGUGGAGAGGCCCCUCGUUCUCAGGCCUGGCUGAGGUCCCAGCUGACAACUUGCAGGCCAUAUGAAGGCUACAUUGGAAACAGAUCCUCCAGCCCUAAGUCUGGCUGCCUGACUGAGGCUGCAUGGAGCACAGAUAGUUCCAUAUUGGCAACAGGAUCAUCUUUUUGCCUUGGGUCCCACACCUUCACAGUUCCUGUUGUGAAUACAACUUCUUUUGAGCCCUUAAUGAGCACUGCCAUCAUUCAACUUGGAACUCAAAGUCCUGAGCACACUCAGUGAUUCUCAGAGAUGAUCUAUCUAGGACCUCUGCACAUGACUUACCAGGUGAGCUUACUAAUAAAUACAGAUUCCUGGGCUCCUCCACAGAUGUAAUGGAUAAACAGCCCCAAAUCUGCUGACUCUUUGGUCCACUGAAGUCUGAUAAUCACUACUUUAAACAUAGAGUAAAUUCAAAGUGAUUUAGAAUGUUUCCAAAGUAGUCCUUGGUAGUCUGAUCUUGAGAUCUUUUGGAAGGAUAAAAUAUGAGUAGUGUUUACUUUGUAUAUGUUUCUUCCUUUAUAAUGUAUUAUUUUCUCACUAAAUUCCUUACUAUUUUCAUCUAGUUACAUAUUUUUCAGUGUACCAUCAUGCUGGGCACAGCAAAUCUACAGUCGAACUGGCUGAAGUUUGUCUAAAUCCAGGUUAGUUAAGAGAAAGGAAUGCAGGAAAGCACCCACUACUGUGGGUGUCUGAGUCUACCCAAGAUGGCAGGGUGAUGAAUGGCUCAAGUAAGUUAUGUUAAUACACCCCUUCUCCUGCCUCCCUCUUUUCUCCUGGAGCUUCUAUCCACAUUUCUCUUUAACAAGUCAGUUUUUGAUAACUUAUACUUAAAAAAAAAAAUGAAGAUAGCUAUUCACGAAAUGUAAUCCCAACUUAUUACUAGGCCAAGAUUUAUUAGUAAAAUCUUCCUAAUUAAAAUUUCAGAUAGCUCAACCUGGGAGACCAUGUUUAUUUUUGUAGCAUCAUUGUGAAAGAAUCAGGACUAAACAGGACUGAGAUUCCACUUCAAAGAAUUGCUUUACUGUUUGACUUUAAAAUACUGCUUUUUACAACACAAAAUUAUAAGACUUAACAAUGAAAAUAAAUCAGUAAUACCUGUGACUAUGCUAGGAAACUCUAUUAGGGAGACAGUCAAUAGUUAUAUUUGUUGCUUAGUCUUAUGCUGAAAUAUGUUAUUUUUAAAAAGAACAUUCAGACUGGUUUCUCCCAAGUUCUCUGAAAGUAUAUGUAAGAACUGAUGCAUUCUAAUAAAUGCUAACUUAAUUAUUAAGCAGUUAAAGCAAGGGGAAUUAAAAUAGCUUCAUUCUAUUUUAUGAUUCAUGUCAGUAAUUUAAUAAGAAAGCAACAGAUUCUAAGUGAGAAUCAAGAAAGGUCACCUUAGAAAACAUGAAGUAGAGAAGAUAGUUUCUUUCUAGAACAUUACUAUAUACUAUAAACAGUAAAAAUAAGACAUAUUCUUGAAAAGUAAUUGAGGAAUUUCAGUUCAUGCAAUCUAAGUAGGAAAUAACUAAAGGUAGAACAUGAAAAUUAUAAGCAUUUGGCAUAAUUACGGUCUUGUUCAUUUGCAACAGGUUUACAUUGAUUUGCUCAAUAGAUGUGUUCCUAAAAAGUUGUGCUUAGAUGUGCAGAAUUUUUUUAAUGAAUUGGGAAUUCUACAUUAAAAAAUUCAAACAAAGAAAAACUCAGUGUAUCGUUCUAUAAUGCCAAAUGUCUCACUGAAAUAUAAACAGUAUCUUAAAUUUUCCAUGUUUUACAUGUGUGGGGAAUAGCCCUUUAUGUACAAAUACAGGGGAUUAAAUGCUAGCACCAAACAGCAUGUGUGGAAAUAAAUAUUGGUAACAUUAUUCAAACUAGCUAAAGAAAAACAGUAUUUUUAAAUGGAUUUUGAAUAUGAAAUCUAGAAAUAUAUAUUAAAGGACAAUUCUUACAUUUUUAUAAAUAGUUAAAAUUGAACAAGGAACAUUUUAAAAUAAGAAACCUCCCUUUCAGAGGAAGAGUAACAAGACUAUCAAGGAAACUGCCUAUCUUGCGUCUUAAUAUUGACUAAAUAAUCUUACCAUAUAUGAAGGUUUCCAGCAAAAUCUCCAGUAGCUAAAUAUCUCUGCUGUAAAGAUGUUGCACCAAAUGUUCCACACUUAAUGGGUUUGGCCUUUUCAAUCUUGACAGAGGGAAGGAAAGAGGAUACAUUAUUUAUGUAAGCAGCUAUUUAUAAUUCAUGAUAUUUAUGGCUCUACUAUGGGCCUUAAAUAAGGCACAUAAUAUAAAAAGCAAUGAAAAAAUUUUCUGAUCAAAAUUAUGCUUUUCCUUUCAUCACUUUUCUGUAGUUUAAAAGUGUGUAACUGUCAAAAAGAAUGAGUUUUAAUUUUGCCUUUGCUCUCAUCUCACUAAUGAGACAUUCAGAUGCUGACAAGUGCACCAUCUCCAUUGGUUUGCAAAUGUGAACAUUUCAACAUUUCAUGUGGUAUUCUUCUCUAAGAUCCUCAGUAGGAAUAAGAACAUAAUGAAGAUGUUAUUCUUUCCAGAUGGCUACAGGAACAAAAAUGUUCAUGUGUCUCUUAUAGUUUUCCCUGCAGAACCCUAUAAACUGAGAGUGUUUAUGUCACUAUUCUCUCUGGGACCUUGUCAAUGCACACAGAUUUGUAGAUGUGUGAGUGCCAAAGGCACUGCUAUUGCUAUGGAUUAGCCAAUAUUUUGAAGUUUCUUUAAAAAGCUCUGUUCCAAGUAUUGCAUAUAAUCCCAUUAGUAAAACAACCACAUACCAAUGCACUAGUUAAGGUACAUGGCUUAAGGAAAUCAAGUCUAGACCAUAUUAUCAAAAAUAUCCUAAGAAAUGAUAUCAUACAGGGGCGCCGAAGGUUGGCUCAGUCAGUAAAGGGGCCAACUCUUGAUUUCGGCUCAGGUCAUGCUCUCACUGUUGGUGGGAUCAAACCCCAUGUCUGGCUCUACGCUGACAACAAGGAGCCUGCUUGGGAUCCUUUCUCUCUCUCUCAAAAAUAAAUAAACAUUAAAAAAAAAAAGAAAUGAUAUCAUACAAUACCCUCCUGUCAUAGGCAAAGAG
Molecule: long non-coding RNA, 4907 nt
Organism: Felis catus (domestic cat)
Lineage: Eukaryota; Metazoa; Chordata; Mammalia; Carnivora; Felidae
Exons: 8
Source: RefSeq, a predicted model, not a curated record